RNAcentral lists this ribosomal RNA (440 nucleotides) under uncultured bacterium. RNAcentral's name for it is "partial 16S ribosomal RNA". It matches the Rfam family "Bacterial small subunit ribosomal RNA", at positions 338 to 795 of the family's 1533-position model. The record is from RNAcentral.
CCUACGGGUGGCAGCAGUGGGGAAUAUUGCACAAUGGGGGAAACCCUGAUGCAGCGACGCCGCGUGAGUGAAGAAGUAUUUCGGUGUGUAAAGCUCUAUCAGCAGGGAAGAAAACCUCGGUACGUGAUUUCCACUCCGCGGCCAACCACGUGCCAGCAGCCGCGGUAAUACGUAGGGGGCAAGCGUUAUCCGGAUUUACUGGGUGUAAAGGGAGCGUAGACGGCAGGACAAGUCUGGAGUGAAAUGCCGGGGCUUAACCCCGGAACUGCUUUGGAAACUGUGGAGCUAGAGUGCAGGAGAGGUAAGUGGAAUGCCUAGUGUAGCGGUGAAAUGCGUAGAUAUUAGGAGGAACACCAGUGGCGAAGGCGGAUUACUGGACAGUAACUGACGCUGAGGCGCGAAAGCGUGGGGAGCAAACAGGAUUAGAUACCCGAGUAGUC